AUGUAUAAAUACACACAUGGAAUAAUGAAACUGGAUUUUACAAAAGGUCCAUCAAAGGGGGACUGGGUUUCCUUACCCCUCUCUAAAAAGCACAGUUGGAAAUAUUUGCCUGUUGCCCACCAAACACAAUGUGAUUGUAGCAGAAAAAAAGGACAUCCAGCCAUAAGGAUGACUGGGACAGACACAAAGGUGAAUUUCUAAUGAACGGAGCCUAAGAACAGGAGGACAGAAUGAGACCUUUUUCUGGAUUGACAAUGAUUUACAGUCAAGUACUCAGAAUUCCCUCUACCAUUUUUCUCAUCCUUUGACAUGAAAAUCUCACUUCAUCAUGCAUAUUCAUUAAUAACUUCUGCAAACACCUUGCUUGUGUCAGGGUCUGUGGAAUAUGUAUAGAUACUUUUAUACAAUAAUUCUCAGAUUAUGUUUUCUACCUUUGAGGAACUCAAAUUAGUGGGAGAAAUAAAUGCACAAAUAGAAAAUUACAAUAUAAUUAUCCAAGUGCAAUGGUAUUGCAGCCAACUACCAGGGCAUUACACCAGAUGUAAUGAACUCUGCCCAAGGAAGUCAGGGAAAGUACCAGAAAAGAAGUGGUAUUGAGUAUGGCUUUAAAAAGAAGGGAGAAUAAUAUUGCAGGUGGAAACCGUGCUGGCCCCAGACUGCCAAGAUAAGGCCAGUUGGACUGUGAGUUUGGGGGGAAAUGGAAAGCAGUGCCAGGAAGAUGGAAUGAAGUAAGCAUCACAGUGCUAAGGCAACUUGAUUGCAAAAUCAAGGGUUUUGGAGCAGGGACGCAUUUUGCCUUUUCCAGAAACAGCUCUAAUUCUUCAAGGAGAAGAAGAGAUAGGAGGAAUAAGGGACCCUUAGGAAGUGUAAAUGUUACGAUUUUUUUUCUUUCUCCAAAAUUACCAUUUAUACAAUGAAACAUUCUCAGGAUUAAUUAUAUCACCUCAGCACUUAGAAAUUAUUGUAGGAAAAAAAAAAAAAAGCAGGAUGGCCAUAUUUAAUGCCUAAACUUGUCAUGGAAGAGUGAGUUGUCGCCUUUAAGAUUCGAAUCUCAAGGUCAUAUAUGUAUCCACGAAGAACCCUUUAUGGAUAUCAGUCAAUCCUUCUUAGAUAGCAGCCUCUGGAAGGAGCAGCACAGAUCUUCUUUCUGCUUCCUCAUAGCUCCCUCAGGUACUAUCUGAUACUCUCCAGGAAGAUCUGCAGAUUAUUUUCACAUAGUUUCCAGAAUUUUCUCAAGGAUCUCAGGAGGUUUAAAUCUUUUCAGGCUUAAAUCAUUCCCUCCAUCUGUGCUCUCCUCCUCUUUCCUUUCUCUUCUCUCCCGUGACUCCUCUGUCCUUUCCUCUGAGUCUGGAGGUGCUCCAGUGUUCUGCUUUGCAUUCCUUUGAGAGCUCUUGAUCGAGUUGAGCCUUAAGGCUUGGCUAUAUGUGGCCUCCUUUGAGUAAAACAAAAAAUGUUCUUUUUCUCCAGUAUCUUUUUCCUCUCUUCAUAUAUGUAGGCCAG
Molecule: long non-coding RNA, 1500 nt
Filed under: Sus scrofa (pig)
Lineage: Eukaryota; Metazoa; Chordata; Mammalia; Artiodactyla; Suidae
Description: lncRNA (ENSSSCG00045028643.1)
Source: RNAcentral